Molecule: ribosomal RNA, 440 nt
Filed under: uncultured bacterium
Lineage: Bacteria
Description: partial 16S ribosomal RNA
Rfam family: Bacterial small subunit ribosomal RNA
Source: RNAcentral
CCUACGGGUGGCAGCAGUGGGGAAUAUUGCACAAUGGGGGAAACCCUGAUGCAGCGACGCCGCGUGAGUGAAGAAGUAUUUCGGUACGUAAAGCUCUAUCAGCAGGGAAGAAAAUGACGGUACCUGACUAAGAAGCACCGGCUAACUACGUGCCAGCAGCCUCGGUAAUACGUAGGGGGCAAGCGUUAUCCGGAGUUACUGGGUGUAAAGGGAGCGUAGACGGCAGCGGAAGUCUUGAGGUAAAGCCCAUGGCUUAACCAUGGUACUGCUUUGGAAACUGUGCAGCUAGAGUGCAGGAGAGGUAAGAGGAAGUGCUAGGGGAGCGGUGAAAUGCGGAGAUAUUAGGAGGAACACCAGGGGCGAAGGCGGCUUACUGGACUGUAACUGACGUUGAGGCUCGAAAGCGUGGGGAGCAAACAGGAUUAGAUACCCCAGUAGUC